UGCGUGUGUGGAAAGUUUUUUCGGCCAGGGAUGUGCUCGCGGCCUAUCAGCUUGUUGGUGGGGUAAUGGCCUACCAAGGCUUCGACGGGUAGCCGGCCUGAGAGGGUGACCGGCCACACUGGGACUGAGACACGGCCCAGACUCCUACGGGAGGCAGCAGUAGGGAAUCUUCGGCAAUGGACGAAGGUCUGACCGAGCAACGCCGCGUGAGUGAAGAAGGUUUUCGGAUCGUAAAACUCUGUUGUUAGAGAAGAGCAAGGAUGAGAGUAGAACGUUCAUCCCUUGACGGUAUCUAACCAGAAAGCCACGGCUAACUACGUGCCAGCAGCCGCGGUAAUACGUAGGUGGCAAGCGUUGUCCGGAUUUAUUGGGCGUAAAGCGAGCGCAGGCGGUUUCUUAAGUCUGAUGUGAAAGCCCCCGGCUCAACCGGGGAGGGUCAUUGGAAACUGGGAGACUUGAGUGCAGAAGAGGAGAGCGGAAUUCCAUGUGUAGCGGUGAAAUGCGUAGAUAUAUGG
Molecule: ribosomal RNA, 515 nt
Filed under: uncultured Bacilli bacterium
Lineage: Bacteria; Bacillati; Bacillota; Bacilli
Description: bacterial SSU rRNA
Rfam family: Bacterial small subunit ribosomal RNA
Source: RNAcentral